Arachis ipaensis is the source of this 106-nucleotide non-coding RNA. The record is from RefSeq and is a predicted model, not a curated record. NCBI's taxonomy places the organism in Eukaryota, Viridiplantae, Streptophyta, Magnoliopsida, Fabales, Fabaceae.
AAGGAGGAGAGAUUAAAAGGAACAUACUUUUCCUCCCCAUUUACAAAAUACCUCCAGUUGCUUAGAAAAAGAUUGAGGAAUUAAGAAUAGAUAUCAGAUAAAUGAA